This 164-nucleotide ribosomal RNA is filed under the name uncultured bacterium. RNAcentral's name for it is "partial 16S rRNA". It matches the Rfam family "Bacterial small subunit ribosomal RNA", at positions 355 to 511 of the family's 1533-position model. The record is from RNAcentral.
UAGGGAAUCUUCCACAAUGGGCGCAAGCCUGAUAGAGCAACGCCGCGUGAGUGAAGAAGGUCUUCGGAUCGUAAAACUCUGUUGUUAGAGAAGAACAUGCAGGAGAGUAACUGUUCUUGUAUUGACGGUAUCUAACCAGAAAGCCACGGCUAACUACGUGUCAG